This 557-nucleotide ribosomal RNA is filed under the name Staphylococcus cohnii. RNAcentral describes it as "bacterial SSU rRNA". It matches the Rfam family "Bacterial small subunit ribosomal RNA", at positions 366 to 917 of the family's 1533-position model. Lineage: Bacteria; Bacillati; Bacillota; Bacilli; Caryophanales; Staphylococcaceae. The record is from RNAcentral.
UCGCAUGGGCGAAGCCUGACGGAGCACGCCGCGUGAGUGAUGAAGGUCUUCGGAUCGUAAAACUCUGUUAUUAGGGAAGAACAAAUGUGUAAGUAACUAUGCACGUCUUGACGGUACCUAAUCAGAAAGCCACGGCUAACUACGUGCCAGCAGCCGCGGUAAUACGUAGGUGGCAAGCGUUAUCCGGAAUUAUUGGGCGUAAAGCGCGCGUAGGCGGUUUCUUAAGUCUGAUGUGAAAGCCCACGGCUCAACCGUGGAGGGUCAUUGGAAACUGGGAAACUUGAGUGCAGAAGAGGAAAGUGGAAUUCCAUGUGUAGCGGUGAAAUGCGCAGAGAUAUGGAGGAACACCAGUGGCGAAGGCGACUUUCUGGUCUGUAACUGACGCUGAUGUGCGAAAGCGUGGGGAUCAAACAGGAUUAGAUACCCUGGUAGUCCACGCCGUAAACGAUGAGUGCUAAGUGUUAGGGGGUUUCCGCCCCUUAGUGCUGCAGCUAACGCAUUAAGCACUCCGCCUGGGGAGUACGACCGCAAGGUUGAAACUCAAUGAAAUUGACGGA